This 145-nucleotide ribosomal RNA is filed under the name Pyrus communis (pear). RNAcentral's name for it is "5.8S ribosomal RNA". It matches the Rfam family "5.8S ribosomal RNA". From Rfam's summary of the family: 5.8S ribosomal RNA (5.8S rRNA) is a component of the large subunit of the eukaryotic ribosome. It is transcribed by RNA polymerase I as part of the 45S precursor that also contains 18S and 28S rRNA. The record is from RNAcentral. Lineage: Eukaryota; Viridiplantae; Streptophyta; Magnoliopsida; Rosales; Rosaceae.
AAAAUGACUCUCAGUAACGGAUAUCUCGGCUCUCGUAUCGAUCAAGAACGUAGCGAAAUGCAAUACUUGGUGUGAAUUGCAGAAUCCCGUGAACCAUCGAGUCUUUGAACACAAGUUGCGAGGUCAUGCUUGCCUAGGAGUCACA